GCGGUGGUAGCUCAGUGGUAGAGCGCCUAACAACUCCUUGUUCAUCCCUUGCCCAAUUGGGCCGAAGAAUUAGGGUUAUCGCCUGUCAAGCGGGAAGUCGGCGGGUUCAAUUCCCGCUCCACCGCGCCA
This 129-nucleotide transfer RNA is filed under the name Caldora sp. SIO3E6. Its description in RNAcentral is "tRNA-OTHER". It matches the Rfam family "tRNA". Rfam says of the family: Transfer RNA (tRNA) molecules are approximately 80 nucleotides in length. Their secondary structure includes four short double-helical elements and three loops (D, anti-codon, and T loops). The record is from RNAcentral. Lineage: Bacteria; Bacillati; Cyanobacteriota; Cyanophyceae; Coleofasciculales; Coleofasciculaceae.